UACGUGGUACCGAUUGACUGUGACAAU
This 27-nucleotide non-coding RNA is filed under the name Mus musculus (house mouse). The record is from RNAcentral. Lineage: Eukaryota; Metazoa; Chordata; Mammalia; Rodentia; Muridae.